AACCUCUGCCUCCCCGAUUCAAGCAAUUCUCCUGUCUCAGCCUCCAGAGUAGCUGGGGCUACAGGCACAUGCCACUACUCCUGGCUUAUUUUUGUAUGUUUUUUAGUAGAGAUGGGGUUUCACCAUAUUGGUCAGGCUGGUCUCAAACUCCUGACCUCAGGUGAUCCACACGCCUUGGCUUCCCAAAGUGCUGAGAUUACAGGCGUAAGUCACUGCGCCCAGCCUCUCCUCAUUUCUGUCUGCUGACUCCUCUUCCUGUUCUGCUGCUCACAUCCCCAGGUUGAUGUUUUCACUCUCGGGGUUCUGCCUUAUCCCUUGCCACCUUCCUGUGCCACCGGGGUCCCUCAGAAGGAUGUGCCUGGACUUCCCACACCCUCCUUCGCUGCCCCUCACUGUGUUGCCUGGUGUCUGCCAGGAGAGAUGCUGUUUGAGCCAUUGGCUGAUUUCUCUUACUGCUUUGCAAACUAUCAGUUUUAAAUGUGGGUGGGGCUGAAGCACCAUUCUCCAUUUUUAAUGUGGAUUUUCCAUCUCCCUUUAAACAUUAAACUUUUAGAUUCUUCUAGCGAAAUACAGAAAACACACCUGAACUGGGAUGAUUCUUGCCUAAGAGAUGUCCCACUGUGUUUGGCAAACCCACAGCGGGUCCCACGAGCCCAUGUCUGGAACUGCCUGGCCCUGCUUUACCAGUUUAUCAGACUUCCACUUCUGCUGAGGUUAGAAAGAGCCAGAGGCUCUGAUACAAUAAAAAUGAGCUCUGAAGAGGGGCUCUCUCCCUCUUGUAUUCAGAAGAACUGAAAGUUUUAAUAAGUCUCUAGAGAAGCAUGACAACUAUCUGUAGCAUUUUUCUUUGGGAAUUAACCUUUGCCCGUAAUUAUUUAUAUUCAGUAGAAUAACCAUGGGUUUCUCUAUUCCAGUUUCUAGAAUAUAAUUUUCAUAAAUGAGGGUGGUCUCCUAUUUUGAGCUUAAUAUUUUUCUGUUGCUAGAAAGAAUGGUACUGCCUCACUCCAGUUCCUUAAGUUUGUGAUCAUGGCUUGAAAUCUCUGCUUUCGGUUACAUUCCUCUGAAUAAUAGUCAUGUAUAAUGGCCUCAGGCAUGAUUUAGAAGGCACAGACUGAGCAGGCCGCUUUGUGAGGUGGUGAACUCCCCAUUCCUGAAAGCAUUCAAUCAAUCAAGAUGAAUAGUUACUUGUAACAGAUGCUGUAGUUCUGGUCCUUGAAUUACCAGGAGUUGGAAUAAAAUGAUCUCAGAGACUCUGUCCAUUCUAAGAUACCAUGUUUCCAUGACCCUACACAGAAUAGCUACACAGGUGGAGGAACAUGAGUCAGAGAAGCUUUGCACAAAAGAAGAUUGUUUUCCACAAAUGAAAAUGGGGUGAUUAACUUCUAAUUGCACCCUGUCUUAGUUUUCAGAUGCAUUGGUUCCUUCCCCAUGUGACCAUCUCUUUAUAUCAAGCUUAUGCUGAAUGUGGAUUAUUUUUAAUGUAAUGUUCACAUUGUAAAAGCAAUGAAACAGCAAACAAAGUAGAGCAAAAUAUCAAAAAUCUAAUGACUUUAUCAUAAAAAUUAUCAGCUUGAUACAGUCCUGUUCACUUUAAUAUAAACAUUUGUGGUUAAUUAUAGUGUUAUAUCUUUUUAGUUGAAACAUUCAAGUGUUUUUUUCAUGUUGCCACACAGUCUUUGGGAUUAAUAUGCAUGUAGCUGUCUUUGUCGAACAUUUAUGGGAUGUCCAUUUUUCCAAAGCUUAAAUUAUAAAUCAUACUGCAGCAAAUACCUUCUCUUCCAAUAUUCCGAAUUAUUUCUUAAGAUUAGAGACAUUAAGUACAAGUACCAGGUCAAAAACUAGAAGCAUUUUAACAGAUUCUGUUAGGGCUACAUUGCAUUCAAUAGACUGUGGCUGUACUAAUAUAUAGUUUCACACCAAAUUCACCUCACCUUGACCAGCAAGGGAUAUUUUCAUUUUAAAAUUGCUUGGUAACUUUUUUGGUUUAUGUUUCUCUUCAAACAAACAAGAUUGUAUUUUUUAAAGUGGUUCAUCAUUUGAAAAGAAUCUGUAGUGUUCUUUGCCCUUUUAUCUUGUGAGAUGUUAAUGUUUUCUUUGUCCAGUUGUGUGAAAUAUAUGUGUGAAUUUAUUUUUCCAAAUAAAAUAAAGACAUUAACCUUCUAUUUUACUGACAAC
This is a long non-coding RNA of Macaca fascicularis (crab-eating macaque), 2175 nucleotides long. The record is from Ensembl. Lineage: Eukaryota; Metazoa; Chordata; Mammalia; Primates; Cercopithecidae.